UACGGGGGGGGCAAGCGUUGUUCGGAAUUACUGGGCGUAAAGGGCUCGUAGGUGGCCAACUAAGUCAGACGUGAAAUCCCUCGGCUUAACCGGGGAACUGCGUCUGAUACUGGAUGGCUUGAGUUCGGGAGAGGGAUGCGGAAUUCCAGGUGUAGCGGUGAAAUGCGUAGAUAUCUGGAGGAACACCGGUGGCGAAGGCGGCAUCCUGGACCGGUAUUGACGCUGAGGCGCGAAAGCUAGGGGAGCAAACAGG
Molecule: ribosomal RNA, 253 nt
Filed under: uncultured bacterium
Lineage: Bacteria
Description: partial 16S ribosomal RNA
Rfam family: Bacterial small subunit ribosomal RNA
Source: RNAcentral